AGUUUAAAACUUGAAGGAGAAAAAGAGGUUUCUAAAAAUCAAACUGCUGUGGAAACUGCUUUACCCAAAGCUUUGGUCCACAGCCUUCAUAAGAUCACCUAUCAGGGCAAAUAAAAUUUAGCCAUGUGAACAGGUCCCAUUUUGUCAGAAAUAUAAUUUGGAUUCAACUGUCCUUUUAUAAACUGAUCUGAUCAGAACCUGAAUUCUCCUAAUUUUCUUCAAUAUUUGGCUGCAACUCUCCAACUAAGAGCAAAAACUGCUCUGUGCUUGCCGCCUUAGAAGAUGAAGCUAGACAACUUGAUAUAAAUUUCAAGAGACAAGUCUCAUACCCGAAAAAAGAAGGACAAGUCUUGUGCCACACAGAAAGUUCACCAAUCCACCUGAUACCAUAGCAGAGAAUUCAAACUGCAAGCCAAGAGAAGUUGAUGGCUUCAUGCUAUAGGCAGCGUUUCCCAAGACACUCCAUCAAAAUGAGACUCUUGCCCCUCUUAAUUUUUCCUUUCUUAUGCUUACCUUUUUCUUUGGCAAGAUAAUGAUGUAAUUCAGAUUUCACAAUCAGCAGCUUCUGCUCAUAACUUAAAAGAACAUGACCUCUUAGGUAUCUAUUGUUUAAAUAAAAAAAAGUCUACGCUUCCACUAA
Molecule: long non-coding RNA, 640 nt
Organism: Homo sapiens (human)
Lineage: Eukaryota; Metazoa; Chordata; Mammalia; Primates; Hominidae
Exons: 2
Source: RefSeq, a predicted model, not a curated record